RNAcentral lists this ribosomal RNA (497 nucleotides) under uncultured bacterium. RNAcentral describes it as "partial 16S ribosomal RNA". It matches the Rfam family "Bacterial small subunit ribosomal RNA", at positions 28 to 507 of the family's 1533-position model. The record is from RNAcentral.
GAUGAACGCUGGCGGCGUGCCUAAUACAUGCAAGUCGAGCGAACAGACGAGGAGCUUGCUCCUUUGACGUUAGCGGCGGACGGGUGAGUAACACGUAGUUAACCUACCUAUAAGACUGGGAUAACUUCGGGAAACCGGAGCUAAUACCGGAUAAUAUUUCGAACCGCAUGGUUCGAUAGUGAAAGAUGGCUUUGCUAUCACUUAUAGAUGGACCUGCGCCGUAUUAGCUAGUUGGUAAGGUAACGGCUUACCAAGGCAACGAUACGUAGCCGACCUGAGAGGGUGAUCGGCCACACUGGAACUGAGACACGGUCCAGACUCCUACGGGAGGCAGCAGUAGGGAAUCUUCCGCAAUGGGCGAAAGCCUGACGGAGCAACGCCGCGUGAGUGAUGAAGGUCUUCGGAUCGUAAAACUCUGUUAUUAGGGAAGAACAAACGUGUAAGUAACUGUGCACGUCUUGACGGUACCUAAUCAGAAAGCCACGGCUAACUACGUG